Long non-coding RNA from Coturnix japonica (Japanese quail), 1710 nucleotides. NCBI's taxonomy places the organism in Eukaryota, Metazoa, Chordata, Aves, Galliformes, Phasianidae. The record is from Ensembl.
UUGUCCCCCCGCCCCGCGGCAGGUUCCUGGACUCGUACCUCAGACACAACGUGUCUUUCUGGGCUCUGACGGCUCAGAACGAGCCCCUCGCGGCGCUGUUCGCCCACCCGCUGUUUCCCACCGUCGCUUUUACGGCGGAACAACAGCGGGAUUUUAUCGCCCUGGACCUGGGGCCGGCGCUGCAGCGCAGCGGACACGGAGCCCGGCUGCUCAUCAUGGACGAUCAGCGCAUCAACCUGCCGGGCUGGGCGCAGGCGGUGCGGGACCAGACACAGGAGACCCCCGGGGGGUCUAUGGGGAAUGGGGGGGGGGGUCUGAUGGAGGGGGAGGGGUCUGGGAGGGGUUUGGGAGGGGACCCCCCCCCGACACCGUGUGUCUGUAUGGGGAUAAGACGGACGGGGCGGCCCUGGAUCCCGGCUGGGUCUGCAGCCCUGCGGCAUCGAGUCUCUGCAUCUCCACGUCCUGAAUCCCUGCAUCCCUGCAGCCUGGGAUCCCUGCAUCCCCUGCAUCCCUGCAUCCCUUCCAGCUCUGCAUCCCUGCAGCCUGGGAUCCCUGCAUCCCCUGUAUCCCCUGCAUCCCUGUGUGCCCUCAAGCUCUGCAGCCCUGCAGCUCCAGGUCCCUGAAUCCCCCCAUCCCUUCCAGCUCUGCAGCCCUGCAGCCUGGGAUCCCUGCAUCCCCUGCAUCCCCUGGGUCCCCACCAGCUCUGCAUCUCUGCACCCCUGCAGCUUUGGAUCCCUGCAGCCCCAAGUCCCUGAAUCCCCCCAUCCCUUCCAGCUCUGCAUCCCUGGGUCACUUCCACCUCUGCAGCCCUGCAGCCCCAGAUCCCUGCAUCAUCUCUGUGUCCUGCAUUCCUGCGUCCCUGUGUGCCCUCAAGCUCUGCAGCCCUGCAGCUCCAGGUCCCUGAAUCCCCCCUGCAUCCCUUCCAGCUCUGCAGCCCUGAGUCGCUUCCACCUCUGCAUCCCUGCAGCCUUGGAUCCCUGCAUCCCCUGUAUCCCCUGCAUCCUGUGUCCCCACCAGCUCUGCAUCCCUGCAGCCCCAGGUCCCUGAAUCCCCCCAUCCCUUCCAGCUCUGCAGCCCUGCAGCCUUGGAUCCCUGCAUCUCUGUGUCCCGAAUCCCUGCAGCCCUGCAGCCUGGGAUCCCUGCAUCCCCUGUAUCCACUGCAUCCCCUGGGUCCCUACCAUCCCUGUAUCCCUGCACCCCUGCAGCUUUGGAUUCCUGCAGCCCUGAAUCCCCCCCCCAGGUCCCUGCAUCUCCGUGUCCUGCAUCCCCCCAUCCCUUCCAGCCCUGCAUCCCUGCAGCUUUGGAUCCCUGCAUCCCUGGGUCCUGUGCAGCUCUGCAUCCCUGCAGCCCCAUAUCCCCGUAUCCAUGUUGGCAAUGCAUCCCUGCAGCCCUUGGUCUCUGCAGCCCUGCAGCUCCAUGCCCCUCUAUCCCCUGCAUCCCUCUGCUCCCCCCAUCCCCUGCAGCAGCGCCGCAUGCAACAGCAGCAUCCCAUGCAGCCAGUGCCGAGGAUGAGGAUGAGGAUGAGGAUGAGGAUGAGGAUGAGGAUGAGGGCACAGCCCCGUCUGUUGGGGGGGGGGGGCCCCCGUCUGCUGUAUGUCCGCCCCACACUUUGCACCUGGGGGCCUCUCAAUAGGAUUUGGGGCUGGGACCCACACGGGACCCCCACCCCACAUAUCCCCUUUGUGUGCCCCCCCCCCACAUGUCCCCUUU